AAACUUUGAUAAUUUAUAAAUUAAAAUAAUCUAAUUUUCUAUUUAUCAAAAAAAAAAAGAAAUGACCUGUUUCGUAUAAUUUUAUUUUUAUAUUUAAAUUUUUUGUAUUUUGGAUAAACGAUCAGUUAAUGUGAUGAAUCCAUCUCUAAAAAUGGAUAUAAGGACUUUAUCGACAGAGAUUAAAAUAAAAAAAUCCUAAUACAAAGGGGGGAUUUUAGAUAUUUUAAGAUUUUUACGACAGGAUCUUUACAUCUAAAAAAUUUCGUCACUAAAAAAUAGUACUCAUGAAAAAUUAAACAACAAAAAAUUUUCAAGGAUAAUAGAAUAUACGACGAUAAUUCAAUAAAUUCAAUCAUAAUUAGCACAUAUUCGAAAAUCUUUUUCAUUUUCAUUGAUAAAAAGUCUUCUUUUC
Molecule: long non-coding RNA, 412 nt
Filed under: Durio zibethinus
Lineage: Eukaryota; Viridiplantae; Streptophyta; Magnoliopsida; Malvales; Malvaceae
Description: long non-coding RNA (DZIB_LNC001418)
Source: RNAcentral